UCCGUAGGUGAACCUGCGGAAGGAUCAUUACUGAGUACCGGAGCCUUCGGGUUCCUACUCCCACCCUAUGUUGACUUUGAAUGUUGCUUUGGCGGACCGGUGGUCUCACCGCUGGCCUAGGCUAGAGAGCGUCCGCCAGAGGAUUUUGAACUCUGUUUAACGGUGAAUUCUGAGUCUUGAUAAAUGAAUCAAAACUUUCAACAACGGAUCUCUUGGUUCUGGCAUCGAUGAAGAACGCAGCGAAAUGCGAUAAGUAAUGUGAAUUGCAGAAUUCAGUGAAUCAUCGAAUCUUUGAACGCACAUUGCGCCCUUUGGUAUUCCGAGGGGCACGCCUGUUCGAGCGUCAUUUAAACCAUCAAGCCCUGCUUGGUCUUGGACGCGGUCGAGUGACCCGUCCGUAACCCGUUGGCGGUGCAGUCCGGCUUCAAGCGUAGCAAGAAUUUCGCUUCGGGAGUCCGCGGCGGCGUCUGCCAGGAAACACCACCCAAAGUUUGACCUCGGAUCAGGUGAGGAUACCCGCUGAACUU
RNAcentral lists this unclassified non-coding RNA (527 nucleotides) under Dothideomycetes sp. KO-groupA 2014. RNAcentral describes it as "partial contains ITS1, 5.8S rRNA and ITS2". The stretch from base 193 to 346 matches the Rfam family "5.8S ribosomal RNA". The record is from RNAcentral. Lineage: Eukaryota; Fungi; Ascomycota; Dothideomycetes.